UCAGUCCCUAUCCAAGUUUUAAGCCGCAACCGAGACCCGACCCAUACCUUAGAUCACAUCACAUAACAGAAAAACCCUAGUCUAAAACCCACCGUUUCUCUUCUUGUUUGGAUUUUGAAGAAGACAAUUUUUUUUUUAAAGAAGAAAUCUUUGUUUCUUCUCUCAAAACUCAAAACUCUCCUUUCUGCAUCUCUGAUUGUUGAACCAUGAAGAGCAAGAAUGAGAAGAAGAGAGGCUCAUCGGCCCCAAAAGGAGGCCCAAAGGGAAACAAAUUUUCGAUCAACAAUGACCCGUUUUUCGAAACGGAGAGCAAGAAGCGGCGGAAAAUGGAGUACGAGGAUGAUGACAUUGAUUCAGGGGACUCUGAAGAGGAGGCAGAGAUUCUGGGGGGUUCUGACGCAAGCGGGGGAGAGGAGAUGGUUGAGGAGGAUGAGGAGACCCCUGGUGAGAUCCGAAAAAGGGUGGCAACGGAGCUUUUGGAUAAGAUGCGGGCAAUAGCAAGAAAAGAGAAAGAAGACAAGGAUGGGGAUGAGGAAGAUGAAGAGGAAGAGGCGAGGGAUUCCUUUGUGGCUAAGAUUUUACAGCAGCAGCAGCUCGAGGAGAGUGGCAGGGUUAGGCGAGUCGUUGCUUCCAGGCUUAAAAAAGCAGAAACUGUUGAUGGGUUUAAAGUUUUAGUGAAGCAUAGACAAUCUGUUACUGCUGUAGCUCUCUCUGAUGAUGACUCGAAGGGCUUUUCGGCAUCCAAAGACGGUACUAUUUUACAGUGGGAUGUAGAAAGUGGGAAAACUGAAAAGUAUAAAUGGCCUAGUGAAGAUAUUCUUAAAAGUCACGGGGCGAAGGAUCCACGUGGUCGACUUAAAAAGCAUAGUAAAAGUGUUUUUGCGUUGGCUGUUAGUUCUGAUGGCCGGUAUUUGGCUAGUGGAGGCAUGGACCGCCAUGUACAUCUGUGGGAUAAUCGUACAAGAAAGCACGAAAUGGCAUUCCCAGGUCAUCAAAAACCUGUAUCAUGUUUAAGUUUUAGGCAAGGAACUGCAGAUCUUUUUUCUGGAUCAUUUGAUCGAACCGUGAAGUAUUGGAAUAUGGAAGAACAAACUCACAUUGACACAAUAUGUGGUCAUGAAAGUGAGGUGUUGACACUUGAUUGCCUAAGGAAAGAACGAGUAUUGACUGUUGGACGUGAUCGGUUUAUGAUGUUGUUUAAGGUUCUCGACCAGUCACGCUUGGUUUUUCGUCCUCCACCAGUAUCUUUGGAAUGCUGUUGCUUUAUUAACAAUGAUGAAUUCUUAUCUGGCUCGGAUGAUGGAGGUAUUGAACUUUGGAGUGUGUUAAGAAAGAAACCUGUAUACAUUGUGAAGAAUGCUCAUACUCAGCUGCCUGCCUGCCAGAAUGUUGAACAAAAAGGCACUGGAAAAAUCCCUGAUAGCCUUCUAGAAAAUGGUGAUCACAAAAUUGAGGGCUAUAAUUGUUCAUCAGCAUAUUCCUGGGUCAGUUCAAUCACUGUAUGUAGAGGCAGUGACCUUGCUGCAUCAGGAGCUGGUAAUGGUUGCGUUCGAUUAUGGGCCAUUGAGACUGGGAGAAAAGACAUACAGCCCUUAUAUGACAUUCCAUUGGUGGGAUUUGUUAAUUCCCUGGCUUUUGCGAAAUCGGGACAGUUCCUAGUUGCUGGAGUUGGGCAGGAACCACGCUUAGGAAGAUGGGGACGCCUUCCGGCUGCACGGAAUGGAGUUGCAAUUCAGCCGUUGAAGCUCUUGUAAGGAGGACAAGGUUUUGUUCCUCUUCAGUUUUGACUAUCAUUAGCUGAGAAAUUCGGGUUAUGUAUUUGGAAACCUCUGCUUUUAUUCCAUGCUUUGGUUGGUAUUCAAGUGGUCUACUGGGAAGGGAAUGACAUUUACCUAAUGGAAAAGGACUGGUGUUGUUGCAGUGAUGGCUUCAGCUUAUAAGGCAAUACCAGAUAGACAGACAGAAAGAGCCCAACGGUUAGCCAGCCAUUCAGCCUAUAAGGCAAUACCAGAUACGCUGUAACCAAUUCUCUAUAAUCUCUUUCUCGUGUGAAAUGUCAGUCUUAUUAAUGCAAACUGCAAGCACUUUGUACCUUCUUCUGCCCAUGAACACGAUACUACAAGAGAGGUUUUUUCCCAGGUAGUGGGCUGUGGGAACAAAUAUCAUAGGAGAGCAUGGUCUGAGAAGGACUUUGUUUACUUGUAGGUGCUGAGCUGCAGUGAAGAAUAGAUGAGGUUCUAAACUCUAAAAUGGGCCUUAGUAUUGGACUUCUUUUUUUUUUUAUCUGAAGUCAUAUUAAUGUUAAUAUUUUUUUAUAAUCAUAUAUGUCUGGAAGAAUAAAUGUUUGAAGUGUUAAAAUAAGCUUUUGGAUGAAAAACAUAAAGAGGAGUCAGUUGCUCUUUGACGAGAGUUGAUUGCUUGAUGUCAAAAUGCAUUUUAUUAAGAAUUUGGCCUUUGGCAGCCCAAAAUUAUUUUUCCUCCUGUUUGAAAAUAUAACUAGUGAAGUUGACAAUCCAUUUCGGGCAUUCGAUUGUUCUUCUUGAAAAUUUGAAAUAUAUGUUCGCUAGACAUGGUGUUUCAUCCUAGUUAUAAACAAAUAAUAUA
This is an RNA transcript of Durio zibethinus, 2604 nucleotides long. It is a transcript of the gene named U3 snoRNP-associated protein-like EMB2271, with no coding region annotated. The record is from RefSeq and is a predicted model, not a curated record. Lineage: Eukaryota; Viridiplantae; Streptophyta; Magnoliopsida; Malvales; Malvaceae.